UGAAUUUCUAUCAUUUGCAACCUGUCACUGUAAGGCACAAACAUGAUCACGCAAGAUGCGAUAGUAGAUUUAAGCCAGUUGUUUUUAAGUUUGUGUUUAAGGAGAAACUAACAAUGAAAACGCACUCGUUGACGGAGGAAAAGUUGGAAUGCAGCCUCUGGUGCUGUUUGAGCGAUCCCUCUCCCCGGGGCCUGGCCGCGCACUGCUGUGUUCUGGAAGGGCUCAUUGUACAGUCAAGGCGGCAGCCCAUUGUUCCUGCCUCUCCAUUGUGUACCUGGGCCCUGCCCUUCAUCUCGGGCGUCCGGCCUGGAGCAAACUGCACCGUGACGCCACUAACUUCCACUAACUGGAAUCUGCCUUUCCCUCCCCGCUGUCUUUCCUUCCCAUCUCUACCGCCAAUUAAAUCCCCAAACUUUGCUGAUUAGCCAUUGAAACAAUCCUUUUAAUCCGUCCAUUUUUUCACUUUCAUUUUUUCAUUGCUAACUCUCUAUGUGAAGCCACCUCACCUUUUUCUCAGAAUGUCAGCUAUAAUGGCCUAGCUGAUCUCCCAGUCAUUCCAGGCUUGCAUCUGCCCAAACUACCUUCCACUCUACCCCGUGCUGUUUUCUAAAUGACAAAUUUUAUCCUGUUGCUUCCCAACUUCAAACUCCUCAAUGACCUGAAAAUGCCUUCAGCAUAUAGCGGAACAUGAUAUGC
RNAcentral lists this long non-coding RNA (696 nucleotides) under Gorilla gorilla gorilla (western lowland gorilla). RNAcentral describes it as "lncRNA (ENSGGOG00000044575.1)". Lineage: Eukaryota; Metazoa; Chordata; Mammalia; Primates; Hominidae. The record is from RNAcentral.